CACUCUUGGAGACACGAGGAUGGGAACUGGAGACAUUACCGCCUGGACUGCCCUAAUGCUAAGUGCAAGGGCUUUGGCCACUCGCCCUGGAAGGCGGAAUAUGGAGAGCGGCCGACUGACUAAGUGCAGAAAAGUAUCUGGAGCUAAAAGGGCUUGGAGCCCGGCGACAAGGGUUUGAGAGGGGGCACUUAUGCUCCCAUUCAGUGAAAUCAGUGGAUCAAUAUCAGCUCCAUGUGGUCUGGAACUGCAGGAGGAAGAAAGCAACUACUGCAUAAAGAAAAACCCAGAGAAAAUGGAA
This 298-nucleotide long non-coding RNA is filed under the name Mus spretus (western wild mouse). Its description in RNAcentral is "lncRNA (ENSMSPG00010049038.1)". The record is from RNAcentral. Lineage: Eukaryota; Metazoa; Chordata; Mammalia; Rodentia; Muridae.